This 799-nucleotide long non-coding RNA is filed under the name Linum usitatissimum (flax). RNAcentral describes it as "long non-coding RNA (LUSI_LNC004216)". The record is from RNAcentral. Lineage: Eukaryota; Viridiplantae; Streptophyta; Magnoliopsida; Malpighiales; Linaceae.
UCCAAUCAUCUAUCCAUUGAUAAGAAGUUGAACAAAAAUCCCAUCUCCCAUUCCAAAUCCAAUCAAGUCCUCCAAUUAUUGGAUAUCUCUGGCUAACUCUCUUCCUUUCUCUAAUCAGAUAGAUAACACAUCUGAUCCAGAUGUCCAUGACAAGACACAACCUCCAUAGAAACACACACAAUAAUUACUUCAAUAAUAACGUAUAUAAUUACUUUUUUACCACUUUGUUUACUGUCCAAGAUAUAAAUUGUCUGUCUGACACCUGCAUGCAAGCAGGAGGAGGAGGAGGAGGAGGAGUUAAAACUCGCGGGGCUCAAGGGGUAAAAAACAGAGAUGAAGCAUUCAUUCAUUCAUUGGAUGAUGGAUCAAUAAUUGAUAGGUGAGAGAGCAGAGCAGAGGAAGAAGAAAGAAGAUCUUGAAAAGCUGCCAUGGGAGAUUUCUUCAGAGCAAACUGUUUACUUACAGUCGUAGUUACUAUCUAGCUUUCUUUCUAGCUACAACUCUAAGCGAAGAAGAAGGGUUUUUUCUGAGUGAUGUGAUGGUGCUAGCUGCUGCCUCUGAUAAUUAGCCCUCUGCAGAGUCGAGUUAUUGCAAUCAUUAUAGACUCUGGUACAUGUUUCUUGUAAAGUGUGUAGGGAAAAAUAUGUUUUGUUCUUUUUAUGCUCUUUCGCUUUUCCAUGUCGGGUCAUCUUCACUCUGCUAGCCAAGCUAUAGCUGCAAUCCUGCAGCUACUCCCUACUUGCCCUUAAGGCUCCCCCACCACCACCGCCCAUUCUCUCAGUUGACAAGGUUAACCAAG